RNAcentral lists this ribosomal RNA (407 nucleotides) under uncultured bacterium. Its description in RNAcentral is "partial 16S ribosomal RNA". It matches the Rfam family "Bacterial small subunit ribosomal RNA", at positions 29 to 526 of the family's 1533-position model. The record is from RNAcentral.
AUUGAACGCUGGCGGCAGGCCUAACACAUGCAAGUCGAGCGGAGCGGCGGACGGGUGAGUAAUGCCUAGGAAUCUGCCUGGUAGUGGGGGAUAACGUCCGGAAACGGGCGCUAAUAGCGCAUACUCUCACAUGAGCCUAGGUCGGAUUAGCUGGUAGGGGGGGUAAAGGCUCACCUAGGCGACGAUACCUAGCUGGUCUGAGAGGAUGACCAGCCACAUGGGAACGUAGAAACGGUCUGUACUCCUACGGGAGGCAGCAGGGGGGAAUAUGGUACAAUGGGGGAAAGCCUGAUGCAGCCAUGCCGCGUGGAUGAAGAAGUCCCUCGGGUUGUAAAGUACUUUCAGCGGGGAGGCGUUACCCGCAGAAGAAGCACCGGCUAACUCCGUGCCAGCAGCCGCGGUAAUAC